RNAcentral lists this ribosomal RNA (497 nucleotides) under uncultured bacterium. RNAcentral describes it as "partial 16S ribosomal RNA". It matches the Rfam family "Bacterial small subunit ribosomal RNA", at positions 28 to 507 of the family's 1533-position model. The record is from RNAcentral.
GACGAACGCUGGCGGCAUGCCUAAUACAUGCAAGUCGAACGCUGAAGUGAGGAGCUUACUCUUCUUGGAUGAGUUGCGAACGGGUGAGUAACGCGUAGGUAACCUGCCUUGUAGCGGGGGAUAACUAUUGGAAACGAUAGCUAAUACCGCAUAACAAUGGAUGACACAUGUCAUUUAUUUGAAAGGGGCAAUUGCUCCACUACAAGAUGGACCUGCGUUGUAUUAGCUAGUAGGUGAGGUAAUGGCUCACCUAGGCGACGAUACAUAGCCGACCUGAGAGGGUGAUCGGCCACACUGGGACUGAGACACGGCCCAGACUCCUACGGGAGGCAGCAGUAGGGAAUCUUCGGCAAUGGGGGCAACCCUGACCGAGCAACGCCGCGUGAGGGAAGAAGGUUUUCGGAUCGUAAAGCUCUGUUGUAAGUCAAGAACGGGUGUGAGAGUGGAAAGUUCACACUGUGACGGUAGCUUACCAGAAAGGGACGGCUAACUACGUG